AGCCCGGAAAGGGGAAAAUGACCAAGAUGCCCCGCUGGUAGGUCCUUCCGCAUGCGUAUCAGAGGAGAAUUAAUGGCCGUUACGCAUGGAGCAGGCGCCUGACACAUCCGUACAUACGGAGCUAGGCGGCAGAAGACAGCUAGCAUUGUGGCAGAGAAACAGAUAUAUAUAUCACGGUAGAGGCCACGCAGAAGGGGGUUCUCUCUUCUUCUUCCUUCUCCUUCCUGGACACCAUUUUUAUUCUUUC
This 247-nucleotide long non-coding RNA is filed under the name Manihot esculenta (cassava). RNAcentral describes it as "long non-coding RNA (MESC_LNC010407)". Lineage: Eukaryota; Viridiplantae; Streptophyta; Magnoliopsida; Malpighiales; Euphorbiaceae. The record is from RNAcentral.